AGAGUUUGAUCAUGGCUCAGAACGAACGCUGGCGGCGUGCCUAAUACAUGCAAGUCGAACGAGAAAGUGGCUUCGGCCAUGAGUAAAGUGGCAGACGGGUGAGUAAUACAUAGGUAACCUACCUUCAAGUUGGGGAUAACCUUCCGAAAGGAGGGCUAAUACCGAAUGAGACCACAGUGACCACGGUCACAGGGGUUAAAGAUGACCUCUACUUGUAAGUUAUCACUUGGAGAUGGGCUUAUGCACCAUUAGCCUGUUGGUGAGGUAACGGCUCACCAAAGCUUUGAUGGUUAGCUGAUCUGAGAGGUUGAUCAGCCACACUGGAACUGAGACACGGUCCAGACUCCUACGGGAGGCAGCAGUAGGGAAUAUUGCGCAAUGGAGGAAACUCUGACGCAGCGACGCCGCGUGGGUGAUGAAGGCCUUCGGGUCGUAAAGCCCUGUCGGAAGGGAAGAAAAACGGUAUGGCUAAUAUCCAUGCCGCUUGACGGUACCUUUAAAGGAAGCACCGGCUAACUACGUGCCAGCAGCCGCGGUAAUACGUAGGGUGCAAGCGUUGUUCGGAAUCAUUGGGCGUAAAGCGCGUGUAGGCGGUUAGGUAAGUCGGGUGUGAAAUCCCUGGGCUCAACCGAGGAAGUGCAUCCGAAACUGCUUAGCUAGAGGACGGUAGAGGAAGGUGGAAUUCCUAGUGUAGAGGUGAAAUUCGUAGAUAUUAGGAGGAAUACCGGUGGCGAAGGCGGCCUUCUGGGCCGAUCCUAACGCUGAGACGCGAAAGCGUGGGUAGCAAACAGGAUUAGAUACCCCGGUAGUCC
This 812-nucleotide ribosomal RNA is filed under the name uncultured bacterium. RNAcentral's name for it is "bacterial SSU rRNA". It matches the Rfam family "Bacterial small subunit ribosomal RNA", at positions 8 to 796 of the family's 1533-position model. The record is from RNAcentral.